AGAGUUUGAUCAUGGCUCAGGAUGAACGCUAGCUACAGGCUUAACACAUGCAAGUCGAGGGGCAGCAUGACCUAGCAAUAGGUUGAUGGCGACCGGCGCACGGGUGAGUAACACGUAUCCAACCUACCGGUUAUUCCGGGAUAGCCUUUCGAAAGAAAGAUUAAUACCGGAUAGUAUAACGAGAAGGCAUCUUCUUGUUAUUAAAGAAUUUCGAUAACCGAUGGGGAUGCGUUCCAUUAGUUUGUUGGCGGGGUAACGGCCACCAAGACAUCGAUGGAUAGGGGUUCUGAGAGGAAGGUCCCCCACAUUGGAACUGGACGACACGGCCCAAACUCCGUACGGGAGGCCA
RNAcentral lists this ribosomal RNA (349 nucleotides) under uncultured bacterium. Its description in RNAcentral is "bacterial SSU rRNA". It matches the Rfam family "Bacterial small subunit ribosomal RNA", at positions 8 to 351 of the family's 1533-position model. The record is from RNAcentral.